UCAAGUUAUUAAGGGUGCAGGGCGGAUGCCUUGGCACUAGGAGCCGAUGAAGGACGUGAUAAGCUGCGAUAAGCUUCGGGGAGUUGCACGUAAACUUUGAUCCGAAGAUUUCCGAAUGAGGAAACUCACUUAGAGUAAUGUCUAAGUAUCAUUAAGUGAAUACAUAGCUUAAUGAGGGGAACUCAGGGAACUGAAACAUCUAAGUACCUGAAGGAAGAGAAAGAAAUUCGAUUCCGUAAGUAGCGGCGAGCGAACGCGGAUUAGCCCAAACCAAUAAAGUUUUCUUUAUUGGGGUUGCGGACAUAUCAUAACGAAGAGGUAUCGUAAUUGAAGAGGUUUGGAAAGACCCACCACAGAAGGUAAUAGUCCUGUAUGUUAAACGAGAAGACUUCAGAUAUGAUCCAGAGUACCACGGGACACGUGAAACCCUGUGGGAAGCAGGAGGGACCACCCUCCAAGGCUAAAUACUACCUAGUGACCGAUAGCGUAUAGUACCGUGAGGGAAAGGUGAAAAGAACCCCGGGAGGGGAGUGAAAUAGAACCUGAAACCCUGCACUUACAAGCUGUGGAAGCACAUUUCUUGUGUGACCGCGUACUUUUUGUAGAACGGGCCAACGAGUUACGUUAAGUAGCAAGGUUAAGCACUUAAGGUGUGGAGCCGUAGCGAAAGCGAGUUUUAACUGAGCGUUCAGUUACUUGACGUAGACCCGAAACCGGGCGACCUACCCAUGAGCAGGAUGAAGCGAAAGUAAAAUUUCGUGGAGGUCCGAACCCACGAGCGUUGAAAAGCUCGGGGAUGACUUGUGGGUAGCGGUGAAAUUCCAAUCGAGCCCGGAGAUAGCUGGUUCUCCCCGAAAUAGCUUUAGGGCUAGCCUCAAGGUGAGAGAUACGGAGGUAGAGCACUGAAUGUCCUAGGGGGUAUUGCACCUACCGAAGACUAUCAAACUCCGAAUGCCGUCAUCUUAUACUUGGGAGUCAGACUGUGGGUGAUAAGAUUCAUAGUCGAAAGGGCAACAGCCCAGAUCGUCAGCUAAGGUCCCUAAAUGUAAGUUAAGUGGUAAAGGAUGUGGGAUUGCACAGACAACCAGGAUGUUGGCUUAGAAGCAGCCACUCAUUCAAAGAGUGCGUAAUAGCUCACUGGUCGAGUGAUCCUGCGCCGAAGAUUUCCGGGGCUAAAACUUACUACCGAAGCUACGGCAUCAGUAAUGAUGGGUAGGGGAGCUUCCCAUACGGGUUGAAGCAUGACCGUAAGGACAUGUGGACAGUAUGGGAGUGAGAAUGUUGGCAUGAGUAGCGAGAUGUGGGUGAGAAUCCCACAGGCCGUAAACCCAAGGUUUCCAGGGGAAGGUUCGUCCGCCCUGGGUUAGUCGGGACCUAAGCUGAGGCCGAAAGGCGUAGGUGAUGGACAACAGGUUGAUAUUCCUGUACUACCGAUAACCGUUUGAGAGAAGGGAUGACACAGUAGGAUAAGCUAAGCACACUGUUGGUUAUGUGUGCCCAAGCAUUGAGGCAGUCAAAGUAGGCAAAUCCGCUUUGAUAAUGCUGGGAUGUGAUGGGGAGCGAAAUUUAGUAGCGAAGUAGCUGAUUUCACACUGUCAAGAAAAGUCUCUAUCGAGGUUAAAGGUACCCGUACCGCAAACCGACACAGGUGGGUGAGGAGAGUAUCCUAAGGCCAGCGAGAGAACUGUUGUUAAGGAACUCGGCAAAAUGACCCCGUAACUUAGGGAUAAGGGGUGCCACCAUCAGGUGGCCGCAGAGAAUAGGCCCAAGCGACUGUUUACCAAAAACAUAGGUUUCUGCUAAGUCGCAAGACGAUGUAUAGGAGCUGACGCCUGCCCGGUGCUGGAAGGUUAAGGGGAUCUGUUAGAGCAAUCGAAGCAGUGAACUUAAGCCCCAGUAAACGGCGGCCGUAACUAUAACGGUCCUAAGGUAGCGAAAUUCCUUGUCGGGUAAGUUCCGACCCGCACGAAAGGCGUAACGAUUUGGGCACUGUCUCAACAACAGACUCGGUGAAAUUGUAAUUCCGGUGAAGAUGCCGGAUACCUGCGACAGGACGGAAAGACCCCAUGGAGCUUUACUGUAGCUUGACAUUGGGUCUUGGUACUACAUGUACAGGAUAGGUGGGAGGCUUUGAAACCAGGACGCCAGUUUUGGCGGAGCCAUCCUUGGGAUACCACCCUUGUAGUACUGGGACUCUAACCAUAGGCCAUGAAUCUGGUCUUGGGACACUGUCAGGUGGGCAGUUUGACUGGGGCGGUCGCCUCCCAAAAGGUAACGGAGGCGCUCAAAGGUUCUCUCAGUACGGUCGGAAAUCGUACGUAGAGUGUAAAGGCAAAAGAGAGCUUGAUUGCAAGACAUACAGGUCGAGCAAGGAUGAAAAUCGGACUUAGUGAUCCGGUGGUUCUGCGUGGAAGGGCCAUCGCUCAACGGAUAAAAGCUACCCUGGGGAUAACAGGCUUAUCUCCCCCAAGAGUCCACAUCGACGGGGAGGUUUGGCACCUCGAUGUCGGCUCAUCACAUCCUGGGGCUGUAGUAGGUCCCAAGGGUUGGGCUGUUCGCCCAUUAAAGUGGUACGCGAGCUGGGUUCAGAACGUCGUGAGACAGUUCGGUCCCUAUCCGUCGCAGGCGUAGGAAAUUUGAGAAGACCUGUCCUUAGUACGAGAGGACCGGGAUGGACGUACCUCUGGUGUACCAGUUGUUCUGCCAAGGGCAUGGCUGGGUAGCUAUGUACGGAAUGGAUAAGCGCUGAAAGCAUCUAAGCGCGAAGCCAACUUCAAGAUAAGAUUUCCCACCG
Molecule: ribosomal RNA, 2794 nt
Filed under: Clostridioides difficile
Lineage: Bacteria; Bacillati; Bacillota; Clostridia; Peptostreptococcales; Peptostreptococcaceae
Description: bacterial LSU rRNA
Rfam family: Bacterial large subunit ribosomal RNA
Source: RNAcentral